Vicia villosa (hairy vetch) is the source of this 1117-nucleotide long non-coding RNA. RefSeq lists it as uncharacterized. The transcript is spliced from 3 exons. NCBI's taxonomy places the organism in Eukaryota, Viridiplantae, Streptophyta, Magnoliopsida, Fabales, Fabaceae. The record is from RefSeq and is a predicted model, not a curated record.
CAAAUGCUCGCUGCCUCUUCUGCUCGCGAUGAACACGAAACAGAGUUCUUUCUUUCUCCCUCUUCAAAAUGAAAGGUGGCUUCCUCCUCUAUUCCCCUCCAUUCCCACCGAUCAAUUCGAGGCGGCCACGACAUACUCCCUCCUUCUUCAAACGAACGGCGGCCAACCCCUCAUUCUUCUCUUUCUCAGAUGUUGGUGGUUCAUCAAAGUCCGACGAGCUUCUCUGAUCAAAAUCUCUCCGAUUCAACUUCCUUUUUCGAUCUCUGAGUUAUUGUUCAUAUGUUGUUGGUGCUGAAUUCGAUCUUGUUCGGAGCCCGUUGCAUUCAGUUUCGUGUUUGAUUCGAGAUGAGCAUUAAUGGUUGUUGAGGAUGAAUGUUGCGGUGGUGAAGCUGAGUAGAAACUCACGGUUUUAACAUCUGGUGAGAUCUUUCCGAUUCUGUUCUGUGUUUUUGAAUCUACAGAUCUGUCUUUCUUCGUCUCUUUUACACUAUCUCCGAUUCAAUUUUCUGAAGGUUUUGAUUGUUUUGAGAAAAAGAUGAUUUAGGGUUCUGAUUGUUGGUUUUGCGGCUAGGUUUGAAGAUGAUGAACAAUAGUUUCUUUUGGGAAUUUUGCAAUGAUUGUUUUUAUAUGCAGGAAAUUUGGUUUUCUUCUAUUAACAAGCCUGUUCUGAAAUUCUUUAUUGGGCUUUUCAAAUGUUUUUUUGAUCUUGUGGUAAUCUUAUUCCUUUGGUACUGAACUGUAGAUGUGAUGGUAUUUUUUGUUUUUGUUUAGUUUCAGUUUUAUGAAUAUGUAAGCUUCUCCCUGCUGGUCCCAUGCUGCAGAGAAGUUCUAUGAAACAAGGGUCAGUUCUUCGGAUUUCAUCAUACUUGUCAACAAGUUCAUAAAGAGCCUUGAUUGUUCUUACUCUGCUGGAAUGAUUAUUCUUAUUAAUAUAUAAUUCUAAUUAUUAUUCUUAUGUCAUACAAUAUAGAAUUUUAAAAUAUGAAGAUGAUCUCAAGUACAUCAGCAUUAGGCUCCAAUUUAUAUAAAGGUCAAGAAGCAGUGACUGAAUUGACAAAUGCUGGUCAAGAAAGUGUGAUCAAUGCACCACUUACGUAUCUCAAAGAAAAAGCUAAGC